Molecule: ribosomal RNA, 468 nt
Filed under: uncultured bacterium
Lineage: Bacteria
Description: partial 16S ribosomal RNA
Rfam family: Bacterial small subunit ribosomal RNA
Source: RNAcentral
GACGAACGCUGGCGGCGUGCUUAACACAUGCAAGUCGAACGGAAAGGCCCUGCUUUUGUGGGGUGCUCGAGUGGCGAACGGGUGUGUAACACGCGUGUAACCUGCCCUUGACUUUGGGAUAACUUCAGGAAACUGGGGCUAUUACCGGAUAGGAGCUCCUGCUGCAUGGUGGGGGAUGGAAAGAUUCGGCGGUUGGGGAUGGACUCGCGGCUUAUCAGCUUGUUGGUGGGGUAGUGGCUUACCAAGGCUUUGACGGGUAGCCGGCCUGGGAGGGGGACCGGCGACAAUGGGACUAAGAGACGGCCCAGAAGCCUACGGGAGGCAGCAGUGGAGAAUAUGGCGGAAUGGGGGGAAGCCAGAGACAGCAACGCCGCGUGCGGGAUGACGUCCUUCGAGGUAAAAACCGCUGUCGCCGGUGACAAAGCGUGAGUGACGGUAAUGGGUAAGGAAGCAACGGCUAACUACGUG